RNAcentral lists this ribosomal RNA (253 nucleotides) under uncultured bacterium. RNAcentral describes it as "partial 16S ribosomal RNA". It matches the Rfam family "Bacterial small subunit ribosomal RNA", at positions 524 to 776 of the family's 1533-position model. The record is from RNAcentral.
CACGUAGGGUGCGAGCGUUGUCCGGAAUUAUUGGGCGUAAAGGGCUCGUAGGCGGUUUGUCGCGUCGGGAGUGAAAACCCAGGGCUUAACCCUGGGCUGGCUUCCGAUACGGGCAGACUAGAGGUAUGCAGGGGAGAACGGAAUUCCUGGUGUAGCGGUGAAAUGCGCAGAUAUCAGGAGGAACACCGGUGGCGAAGGCGGAUCUCUGGGCCAUUACUGACGCUGAGGAGCGAAAGCGUGGGGAGCGAACAGG